AAUUGAAAUCUGAAAAGCUCUCAUAUAUAAUAAUGAAUUUCUUACGUUUUCUUUGAACUUGAAAACCAAAGAUAAUUUUCCUGAGGCGAAAAGUACUUGAAUACUAGGAAAUGGCCGUUUUCUUAAAAAAAGCAAGUAGAAACAAGCGAUCAUGGAUGUCAGUUAGGUCUCGUCUCACGAAACUACAGUUGGUGAACUCCAAGAGUUCUUCGUUGUUCAAGAGUAUGACAGUGCUGGUGGCUGCAAGAGAGGUUUUUAUCAGAUAUUAGAUAGAUAUAACCGACAUCACUAUUCUGUUACGAGAGAGAUUGAUUCUGGCAAAACUCCAAUCGUGAUUCACCUGAUAGAUAACAAGACUAACAAUGUAUUGAGAAUGGAACCGAGGCUUAGGCCGUGCCAUGCAUUUUGUUGUUGCUUGAAAGACUGCAGUCACAGUAUGGAAGUUUCUGCUAACGGUGAGCUACUUGGAGUGAUUCGUCAUGGGGUGAACUGCUUCCUGCCAAAGCUAUCUGUUGAAAAGUUCGGACAAACACUCUUUGUUAUCAAGGAACCUGGUUGUCCGUGCUGUUGGAUAUGCAAUUGAUACGGGAAUAUAACCUCUUUCAUGAUCAUGCAGUAUCACGUGCUGAAAGAGCAAAGGGUAAGG
Long non-coding RNA from Styela clava, 646 nucleotides. RefSeq lists it as uncharacterized. NCBI's taxonomy places the organism in Eukaryota, Metazoa, Chordata, Ascidiacea, Stolidobranchia, Styelidae. The record is from RefSeq and is a predicted model, not a curated record.